RNAcentral lists this ribosomal RNA (778 nucleotides) under uncultured Neocallimastigales. RNAcentral's name for it is "partial large subunit ribosomal RNA". It matches the Rfam family "Eukaryotic large subunit ribosomal RNA", at positions 18 to 636 of the family's 3401-position model. The record is from RNAcentral. Lineage: Eukaryota; Fungi; Neocallimastigomycota; Neocallimastigomycetes; Neocallimastigales.
UCAGACGAUGCGUCAUGCAUAUCAAUAAGCGGAGGAAAAGAAACUAACUAGGAUUCCCUCAGUAACGGCGAGUGAAGCGGGAAGAGCUCAAAUUUGAAAUCUUCAAGGUUCUACCUUGACGAAUUGUAGUUUAAAGAAGUGUUUUCUGUUAGAGGAGUAGGUAAAAGUUCUUUGGAAUAGGACAUCAUAGAGGGUGAGAAUCCCAUAUUUGACAUAUUCUUCUAGCUUUGUGAUACACUUUCAAAGAGUCGGAUUGUUUGGGAAUGCAGUCCAAAAUGGGUGGUAAAUUUCAUCUAAAGCUAAAUACUGGCGAGAGACCGACUAGCGAACAAGUACCGUGAGGGAAAGAUGAAAAGAACUUUGAAAAGAGAGUUAAACAGUACGUGAAAUUGUCAAAAGGGAAGCGUUUGACACCAGUGUUGUUUUCUCGAAAAUCAAUUAAAAAGAGUUGGAUUUUGUGUUGUAUUGACCUUAACAGCUUGCUUCACUCUUUUCCUGCUUUUUUUAAUGCACUUUUCGUUUAACAAGUCAACAUCAGUUUCUUUUGUUGUAAAAGGGUCAUUGGAAGGUGGCUUUCUCUUCGGAGAAAGUGAUUUAUAGCCUUUGAUCUCUGCAAUCGGAGAGACUGAGGAUCUGCAGCGUAGAUCCUUCGGGGUUAGAUACAUUCGUGCUAAGUUAUAGCCUUUUAUAGACAACUUGUUGACUAUGAUCAGUCAUGUAGCUUACUCGCUAGUGCUAUUUUACCUACGCUUAGGAUGUUGAUAUGCAUGACUGAUAU